Molecule: non-coding RNA, 72 nt
Organism: Podarcis lilfordi (Lilford's wall lizard)
Lineage: Eukaryota; Metazoa; Chordata; Lepidosauria; Squamata; Lacertidae
Source: the annotation of a GenBank genome assembly
AGGGUUGUAGCUCAGUAGUAAAGCAUCUGCUGUGCAUGCAGAACGUCCCAAGUGCAACCCUUAGCAUCUCCA